UUUUCAGCAUGAAAAAUUAGAUUAGAUUCAUCAUGAAAAGUCAGAGAAGAAAAGUUCUUCAUAAGGGUGUGAAAGGAAAAGAGAGGUUCUCUCUUAUGCAUGGAAAUUGAGAAGAAAGGGUUCUUCUCUUGAUCUCUAUUGUAGAGAUCAAAUGCAUGGAUCCAGAAAAAAAAAAGAUAGAGUCUCCUUAUUCUUCAUCUUCAUCAUGUUCUUCUUAGAUCAGUCAAAGGAUGGUGUCUUCGCGAGCUAGCACUCCC
RNAcentral lists this long non-coding RNA (257 nucleotides) under Elaeis guineensis (African oil palm). RNAcentral describes it as "long non-coding RNA (EGUI_LNC027551)". The record is from RNAcentral. Lineage: Eukaryota; Viridiplantae; Streptophyta; Magnoliopsida; Arecales; Arecaceae.